GAGUAAUGCAUCGGAACGUGCCCAGCUAGUGGGGGAUAGCCCGGCGAAAGCCGNAUUAAUACCGCAUACGACCUACGGGUGAAAGCGGGGGACCGUAAGGCCUCGCGCUAUUGGAGCGGCCGAUGUCAGAUUAGGUAGUUGGUGGGGUAAAGGCCUACCAAGCCUGCGAUCUGUAGCUGGUCUGAGAGGACGACCAGCCACACUGGGACUGAGACACGGCCCAGACUCCUACGGGAGGCAGCAGUGGGGAAUUUUGGACAAUGGGCGCAAGCCUGAUCCAGCCAUGCCGCGUGCGGGAAGAAGGCCUUCGGGUUGUAAACCGCUUUUGUCGGGGAAGAAAUCUCCUGGGCCAAUACCCCGGGAGGAUGACGGUACCCGGAGAAUAANCACCGGCUAACUACGUGCCAGCAGCCGCGGUAAUACGUANGGUGCAAGCGUUAAUCGGAAUUACUGGGCGUAAAGCGUGC
This 467-nucleotide ribosomal RNA is filed under the name uncultured Rubrivivax sp. RNAcentral describes it as "bacterial SSU rRNA". It matches the Rfam family "Bacterial small subunit ribosomal RNA", at positions 108 to 570 of the family's 1533-position model. Lineage: Bacteria; Pseudomonadati; Pseudomonadota; Betaproteobacteria; Burkholderiales; Sphaerotilaceae. The record is from RNAcentral.